GAGGAAAAGAAACCAACAGGGAUUGCCCUAGUAACGGCGAGUGAAGCGGCAACAGCUCAAAUUUGAAAUCUGGCCCCCUAGGGGGUCCGAGUUGUAAUUUGCAGAGGGUGCUUUGGCGUUGGCAGCGGUCUAAGUUCCUUGGAACAGGACGUCACAGAGGGUGAGAAUCCCGUACGUGGUCGCCAGCCUCCGCCGUGUAAAGCCCCUUCGACGAGUCGAGUUGUUUGGGAAUGCAGCUCUAAAUGGGAGGUAAAUUUCUUCUAAAGCUAAAUACUGGCCAGAGACCGAUAGCGCACAAGUAGAGUGAUCGAAAGAUGAAAAGCACUUUGGAAAGAGAGUCAAAAAGCACGUGAAAUUGUUGAAAGGGAAGCGCUUGCAGCCAGACUUGCCUGUAGUUGCUCAGCCGGGCUCCGGCCCGGUGCACUCUUCUGCGGGCAGGCCAGCAUCAGUUCGGGCGGCCGGAUAAAGACCUCUGUCACGUACCUCCCUCCGGGGAGGACUUAUAGGGGAGGUGAAAUGCGGCCAGUCCGGACUGAGGUCCGCGCAUCUGCUAGGAUGCUGGCGUAAUGGCUGUAA
RNAcentral lists this ribosomal RNA (576 nucleotides) under Corynespora torulosa. Its description in RNAcentral is "eukaryotic LSU rRNA". It matches the Rfam family "Eukaryotic large subunit ribosomal RNA", at positions 53 to 643 of the family's 3401-position model. Lineage: Eukaryota; Fungi; Ascomycota; Dothideomycetes; Pleosporales; Corynesporascaceae. The record is from RNAcentral.